RNAcentral lists this transfer RNA (59 nucleotides) under Apaloderma vittatum (bar-tailed trogon). It matches the Rfam family "tRNA", at positions 8 to 63 of the family's 71-position model. From Rfam's summary of the family: Transfer RNA (tRNA) molecules are approximately 80 nucleotides in length. Their secondary structure includes four short double-helical elements and three loops (D, anti-codon, and T loops). Further hydrogen bonds mediate the characteristic L-shaped molecular structure. tRNAs have two regions of fundamental functional importance: the anti-codon, which is responsible for specific mRNA codon recognition, and the 3' end, to which the tRNAs corresponding amino acid is attached (by aminoacyl-tRNA synthetases). tRNAs cope with the degeneracy of the genetic code in two manners: having more than one tRNA (with a specific anti-codon) for a particular amino acid; and 'wobble' base-pairing, i.e. permitting non-standard base-pairing at the 3rd anti-codon position. The record is from Rfam by way of RNAcentral. Lineage: Eukaryota; Metazoa; Chordata; Aves; Trogoniformes; Trogonidae.
UAGCUCAGUCGGUUAGAGCGUGGUGCUGAUAACACCAAGGUCGUGGGUUCAAUCCCUUC